GACGAACGCUGGCGGCGUGCUUAACACAUGCAAGUCGAGCGGAGAGGCCCUUCGGGGUACUCGAGCGGCGAACGGGUGAGUAACACGUGAGUAAUCUGCCCUGCACUCUGGGAUAGCCUUGGGAAACUGAGAUUAAUACCGGAUAUGUUCACUUCCCGCAUGGGAUGGUGGUGGAAAGUUUUUCGGUGCAGGAUGUGCUCGCGGCCUAUCAGCUUGUUGGUGGGGUAAUGGCCUACCAAGGCUUCGACGGGUAGCCGGCCUGAGAGGGUGACCGGCCACACUGGGACUGAGACACGGCCCAGACUCCUACGGGAGGCAGCAGUGGGGAAUAUUGGACAAUGGGCGGAAGCCUGAUCCAGCAACGCCGCGUGAGGGAUGACGGCCUUCGGGUUGUAAACCUCUUUCAGCACAGACGAAGCGCAAGUGACGGUAUGUGCAGAAGAAGGACCGGCCAACUACGUGCCAGCAGCCGCGGUAA
RNAcentral lists this ribosomal RNA (478 nucleotides) under uncultured bacterium. RNAcentral's name for it is "partial 16S ribosomal RNA". It matches the Rfam family "Bacterial small subunit ribosomal RNA", at positions 28 to 523 of the family's 1533-position model. The record is from RNAcentral.